GAAGCGCUACACUGGCCUGGAUGAUCUGUUCUACACUGCAGCAGCUCUGGACCCCCGCUUCAAGUCUCUGCCCUUCCUGACUGACCAUGAUGCUGAGCGGACGUUCACAAGCAUAACAGCAGAAGCUACAUCCCUGCAUAACAAGGCAACAGGGGAUCCAAUUCAGAGAGGCCCACUGCAGACAAAUCCAUGUCAGACUGAACCUGCCCUUGGAGAUCUGGACAUUAGCAUUGAUGCACCCCAGACCCAAGAUGAGCCUAAAGAUGAUGACCCUCCUCUCAAAAAGAAGAAAAUGUCAGCGUUGGACCAGCUGUUGGGAAAAGACUUUGAAGUGAGGAUGGGAGCUAGAUCUGUAAGAGACAAGGCCAACGAAGAAGUCAAGAGGUACAGAGAGCGUGAUCUGUUGUCCCUGCAAAAAAACCCACUGCAGUGGUGGAAAGAGCAGCAGGACUUGCCACUGCUGUCGUCUCUGGCUAAAAAAUACCUCUGUAUCCCGGCCACCAGUGUGGCAUCUGAGCGGGUGUUUAGUACUGCGGGAGAUAUUGUUUCCUCUAAACGCAGUCUACUCAAACCUGAGCACGUGGAUCAAUUGAUAUUCCUGAAGAAAAACCUG
Molecule: long non-coding RNA, 613 nt
Organism: Gadus macrocephalus (Pacific cod)
Lineage: Eukaryota; Metazoa; Chordata; Actinopteri; Gadiformes; Gadidae
Exons: 3
Source: RefSeq, a predicted model, not a curated record